RNAcentral lists this ribosomal RNA (253 nucleotides) under uncultured bacterium. RNAcentral's name for it is "partial 16S ribosomal RNA". It matches the Rfam family "Bacterial small subunit ribosomal RNA", at positions 524 to 776 of the family's 1533-position model. The record is from RNAcentral.
UACGUAGGCAGCAAGCGUUGUUCGGAAUUACUGGGCGUAAAGGGUGCGUAGGAGGUUGGCUAAGUUUGGUGUGAAAUCUCCCGGCUUAACUGGGAGGGUGCGCCGAAAACUGGCUGGCUAGAGUGUGGGAGAGGGAAGUGGAAUUCCUGGUGUAGCGGUGAAAUGCGUAGAUAUCAGGAGGAACACCUGAGGUGUACACGUUUUCCUGGACCAUUCAUGACGCUGACGCACGAAAGCGUGGGGAGCAAACAGG